CUGGCGGCAUGCCUUACACAUGCAAGUCGAACGGCAGCACGGGAGCAAUCCUGGUGGCGAGUGGCGAACGGUGAGUAAUAUAUCGGAACGUGCCCGAGUCGUGGGGGAUAACGUAGCGAAAGCUACGCUAAUACCGCAUACGAUCUAUGGAUGAAAGCGGGGGAUCGCAAGACCUCGCGCGAUUGGAGCGGCCGAUAUCAGAUUAGGUAGUUGGUGAGGUAAAGGCUCACCAAGCCGACGAUCUGUAGCUGGUCUGAGAGGACGACCAGCCACACUGGGACUGAGACACGGCCCAGACUCCUACGGGAGGCAGCAGUGGGGAAUUUUGGACAAUGGGCGCAAGCCUGAUCCAGCAAUGCCGCGUGCAGGAUGAAGGCCUUCGGGUUGUAAACUGCUUUUGUACGGAACGAAACGGUGAGCUCUAAUACAGUUUGCUAAUGACGGUACCGUAAGAAUAAGCACCGGCUAACUACGUG
Molecule: ribosomal RNA, 476 nt
Filed under: uncultured bacterium
Lineage: Bacteria
Description: bacterial SSU rRNA
Rfam family: Bacterial small subunit ribosomal RNA
Source: RNAcentral